UACGAAGGGGGCUAGCGUUGUUCGGAAUUACUGGGCGUAAAGGGCGCGUAGGCGGUACUUCAAGUCAGGCGUGAAAGCCCCGGGCUCAACCUGGGAACCGCGCUUGAGACUGGAGAACUAGAGUUCGGGAGAGGAUGGUGGAAUUCCCAGUGUAGAGGUGAAAUUCGUAGAUAUUGGGAAGAACACCGAUGGCGAAGGCAGCCAUCUGGACCGAUACUGACGCUGAGGCGCGAAAGCCAGGGGAGCAAACGGG
Molecule: ribosomal RNA, 253 nt
Filed under: uncultured bacterium
Lineage: Bacteria
Description: partial 16S ribosomal RNA
Rfam family: Bacterial small subunit ribosomal RNA
Source: RNAcentral